AUUUGUAUGAAUUAAUGCAUUCAAUUAUUACAAGCAUAAUAUUAUAUACUGAGUCGCUUGAUGAAAUUAUAACAACUACCCAUCAUGUAUCACUUGAACUAAUUCCAUUACUUUUGCAAACAAAAUCUGAAAUAAUGGUAAAGAUCAACUCAAAUGUUAAAAAAAUAAGUUAGGUUAUGGCUCAACUAACAAAGAACCCAUGUCAUUUUGUUUAGAGAUCUUAGAGAUGCCUAUGUGAGCUAUAGAUUUGUUUCAAAAAACUAAGAAGGUGUAUUAGUAAAAGAAAUGGAUGCCUUAAUGACUAAAUCUUAUGAUAGUGAUCAAAAGCAAGUUCUGACAUCUGAAGAAUGAGAACCAACAAAUUUUUACUUUAUUAGAAUACUAGAAGACUUACAAUCUUUACCCAAUUAUGUUGACAGUUAAUUUACCUUAUUCAAAAUAAAUAUUAGUAAU
Long non-coding RNA from Acyrthosiphon pisum (pea aphid), 453 nucleotides. RefSeq lists it as uncharacterized. The transcript has 4 exons. Lineage: Eukaryota; Metazoa; Arthropoda; Insecta; Hemiptera; Aphididae. The record is from RefSeq and is a predicted model, not a curated record.